RNAcentral lists this ribosomal RNA (292 nucleotides) under uncultured bacterium. Its description in RNAcentral is "partial 16S ribosomal RNA". The record is from RNAcentral.
GGACUACAGGGGUAUCUAAUCCCGUUCGCUCCCCUGGCUUUCGCACCUCAGCGUCAGUCACUCGCCAGGACACUGCCUUCGCCUUCGGUGUUCCUCCGGAUCUCUACGCAUUUCACCACUCCACCCGGAAUUCCGUGUCCCUCUCGAGUCCUCAAGUCAAACCGUCUUUGGUAUCCUCGGGCAGUUUAGCCACCCGCUGUCACACCAAACGCGUCCGACCGCCUGCAUGCCCUUUACGCCCAGUAACUCCGGACAACGCUCGCCCCCUACGUAUUACCGCGGCUGCUGGCAC